RNAcentral lists this ribosomal RNA (253 nucleotides) under uncultured bacterium. RNAcentral describes it as "partial 16S ribosomal RNA". It matches the Rfam family "Bacterial small subunit ribosomal RNA", at positions 524 to 776 of the family's 1533-position model. The record is from RNAcentral.
UACGUAGGGUGCAAGCGUUGUCCGGAAUUAUUGGGCGUAAAGAGCUCGUAGGCGGUCUGUCGCGUCUGCUGUGAAAACUCGGGGCUUAACCCCGGACUUGCAGUGGGUACGGGCAGACUAGAGUGUGGUAGGGGAGACUGGAAUUCCUGGUGUAGCGGUGGAAUGCGCAGAUAUCAGGAGGAACACCGAUGGCGAAGGCAGGUCUCUGGGCCAUUACUGACACUGAGAAGCGAAGGCAUGGGGAGCGAACAGG